GAGCUCAAAACCUCCAAGAUCAAAUGCUAAAUAAACAGAGCCUGCGGGGCGCCAGGAACCUGGGGCGUGCUGCCGCCUUCUCUACCAGAGGGACCCAAGCUGAAGGCAACUCUGCGGGCAGCGGGAGGGGCUUUCGGGAUCUUCCUUCCACAGCAACAAAAUCCCUUGGGUCCUUUGCGCUUGCGGCGCUCCUGAGCCUUGGCCCGGGCCGUGACUCCUACAGCCUGGGCGGCUCCCCUAGGACGCGGCUAAAACUUGGCCAAAAGGCGGUACUCAACUCACACGCCGGAAGGAAAACUGCAUUAAAAAAAAAAAACCAACAACAACAACAGCAACACACAUACACACACACACACACACACACACACACACACACACACACACACACACAACGAAAACUCCGCUGAGCCGCAGCGGCGCCUCUCACAGAAGUAUUACUUUUUCUAUUGUUAUUUUAUACGUUUUCUUUACUCCCCCUCCCUCCCCUGACCAUAUAAGCUUGUAAAGUCUUGACUGCGGAGAGGGGGGAAAGAAAAGAUCUGCGCGCCCUGGCAAUUUCCAGUCCCCCUUCCUUUCCCUAUCCCUACACCGGGGACCCUGCGAAAAUGUAAUCCUUGUAUCUGCUUCUGCCAUCCGGCCCCAGGGGCCGCUGGCUCCGCGCGACUCCCGGGUGCUCCCGCUGACCUACAGCUUCGGGCGCGGAAACCCGGCUGAGAACCAGGCGCCCGGGGCUAAGGGGACCGGGCCUCCGCUCCUCUGUUCCAACGCUGCGCGCGAGCCAGCAGCCGGCCAGGAGCCGGGCGUUGUAUUGCGACUGGCACUUUAUGCUGACCAUCGGUAACGGACAUUUAUCACUGGAGUUCUUUUUUUAAAAAACUAUUAAAUAAACGGUUAUUUUACAGGC
This 904-nucleotide long non-coding RNA is filed under the name Mus musculus (house mouse). RNAcentral's name for it is "long non-coding RNA chr12:9580595-9581499". Lineage: Eukaryota; Metazoa; Chordata; Mammalia; Rodentia; Muridae. The record is from RNAcentral.